RNAcentral lists this ribosomal RNA (708 nucleotides) under Escherichia coli. RNAcentral's name for it is "bacterial SSU rRNA". It matches the Rfam family "Bacterial small subunit ribosomal RNA", at positions 801 to 1516 of the family's 1533-position model. The record is from RNAcentral. Lineage: Bacteria; Pseudomonadati; Pseudomonadota; Gammaproteobacteria; Enterobacterales; Enterobacteriaceae.
ACGAAGGUCGACUUGGGAGGUUGUGCCCUUGAGGCGUGGCUUCCGGAGCUAACGCGUUAAGUCGACCGCCUGGGGAGUACGGCCGCAAGGUUAAAACUCAAAUGAAUUGACGGGGGCCCGCACAAGCGGUGGAGCAUGUGGUUUAAUUCGAUGCAACGCGAAGAACCUUACCUGGUCUUGACAUCCACGGAAGUUUUCAGAGAUGAGAAUGUGCCUUCGGGAACCGUGAGACAGGUGCUGCAUGGCUGUCGUCAGCUCGUGUUGUGAAAUGUUGGGUUAAGUCCCGCAACGAGCGCAACCCUUAUCCUUUGUUGCCAGCGGUCCGGCCGGGAACUCAAAGGAGACUGCCAGUGAUAAACUGGAGGAAGGUGGGGAUGACGUCAAGUCAUCAUGGCCCUUACGACCAGGGCUACACACGUGCUACAAUGGCGCAUACAAAGAGAAGCGACCUCGCGAGAGCAAGCGGACCUCAUAAAGUGCGUCGUAGUCCGGAUUGGAGUCUGCAACUCGACUCCAUGAAGUCGGAAUCGCUAGUAAUCGUGGAUCAGAAUGCCACGGUGAAUACGUUCCCGGGCCUUGUACACACCGCCCGUCACACCAUGGGAGUGGGUUGCAAAAGAAGUAGGUAGCUUAACCUUCGGGAGGGCGCUUACCACUUUGUGAUUCAUGACUGGGGUGAAGUCGUAAGGGGAACCCCCAAAAAAGGGG